UGAUACCCUAGAGAAGUUGUUUUCUAUUUUCCCAUCUCCUAUAAUCGCAUUAAUCGGUAACUUUGGUUGUUCGCAAAGAGUCAGUAUGGCAGCUAUUAUGUAUUUGGCAAUUGGACUACUCGAUUAAACUUUUGGAGACAAAUGAAAGGUCAAAUGGAAUUUGAACCAAUUGUAUGGUAUAUACAAUACCUAUAAUAUACGUAUAAUGGAUUAAUGUAUAAUACUGUACUUAUAUUGUUUAGUGAGUGCCAAUAUGUCAGAAACA
Molecule: non-coding RNA, 265 nt
Organism: Cinara cedri
Lineage: Eukaryota; Metazoa; Arthropoda; Insecta; Hemiptera; Aphididae
Source: the annotation of a GenBank genome assembly